AGUGCAAGCCACAACAUGGACUGAAAACCUUUUAACGGAGUACGUCUGUCAUCAGAAUACGACCAAGGAAGUCCUGAAUAUGAAAAAGAUCACGGCAUUCUUUCCGAAGAGACCAACACUGGGUCCACCAGGAAGGUCAUCAGAGGGAGAGCAGCAUAAAGAGAGAGAGAGGGCGAGCAGCACACAAAGGAUGGGGAAGAGAGAAGCGGAAGUCAGCUGGUCAUCACAGGGCUAGUGGAUUUGACCCUGCAUGGAUCAAAAGCCAUAGCUGGCUUCUGAACACACCGGAUGGGAUGUUUUUGUGAAAAAGCCCAGCAGAAAUUUUAGGCUUGACACAGUGAGCAGUCACAAAAAUUCAGAGACACAUAUCGAAGCCAUUAAGA
Centropristis striata (black sea bass) is the source of this 383-nucleotide long non-coding RNA. RefSeq lists it as uncharacterized. NCBI's taxonomy places the organism in Eukaryota, Metazoa, Chordata, Actinopteri, Perciformes, Serranidae. The record is from RefSeq and is a predicted model, not a curated record. The transcript has 3 exons.